CACCACAAAGCUUUUUAGAAGCACUAGCCUUUUAAGCUUGAGAAAGUAAUUAUACUUGUAGUGA
RNAcentral lists this transfer RNA (64 nucleotides) under Sida crystallina. RNAcentral's name for it is "tRNA-Lys". Lineage: Eukaryota; Metazoa; Arthropoda; Branchiopoda; Diplostraca; Sididae. The record is from RNAcentral.